Lycium barbarum (goji berry) is the source of this 540-nucleotide long non-coding RNA. RefSeq lists it as uncharacterized. The transcript is spliced from 2 exons. The record is from RefSeq and is a predicted model, not a curated record. Lineage: Eukaryota; Viridiplantae; Streptophyta; Magnoliopsida; Solanales; Solanaceae.
CUUUCGAAUUGGUUAUCAAUGUUACUAGGUUGGUUAUUGUGGUUGUUGUUGUUGAUUUUGAGCGAGAUAAAUUCUCGGGAUGGCCUAUUUACAGGGGAAGUGCUGCCGAAUUUUCUGUAGAAUUUAAUGAUUAGUUUGGAAUGAAUGGCUUAAGUGCCCUUAGCUAAUGAUUGGAUAUUCGUUGGCAUAUUUGUAGACCUUGGGGAGCCCGAGGCGUAGAUUGGGAUUUACUUUAGAUUGGCUAUCUUGGAGUGCGUACGAGGUACAGACGCACAGUUUGGUGAUCUACCCAUUUAGGACAUCCUCUUCUGCUGUUUGGAGUGCUCUUCUCAUUUCAGAGCACACAUUUUGGUAUACAUUUGUUCGCUAUGUAUAUAUGUAUUUGUUCAGGGGUACGGCGGGGCCCUGUCCCGCCAUAUGAUUCGGUUUGUCUGUUUAGAGGUCUGUAGACGUAUUUGUGGGUGUGUGUGCCUACUUCUGUACAGUUGUGUUUAUAUGAUUCUAUUCGUUAUGGCAGCCUUGUCGGCGUGCAUUCGUAUA